Molecule: ribosomal RNA, 231 nt
Filed under: uncultured bacterium
Lineage: Bacteria
Description: partial 16S ribosomal RNA
Rfam family: Bacterial small subunit ribosomal RNA
Source: RNAcentral
UGAGCAACCUGCCCUUGGCUUUGGGAUAACCCUCGGAAACGGGGGCUAGUACCGAAUGUUUCACUGCUGGACGCAUGUUUGGUGGUGGAAAGUUUUUCGGCUGGGGAUGGGCUCGCGGCCUAUCAGCUUGUUGGUGGGGUGAUGGCCUACCAAGGCGACGACGGGUAGCCGGCCUGAGAGGGCGACCGGCCACACUGGGACUGAGACACGGCCCAGACUCCUACGGGAGCA